CUACGGGAGGCAGCAGCAGGGAAUCUUGCGCAAUGGGCGAAAGCCUGACGCAGCAACGCGCGUGGGGGAAGAAGGCCUUCGGGUUGUAAACCCCUUUCAGGAGGGAAGAAAAUGACGGUACCUCCAGAAGAAGCACCGGCCAACUACGUGCCAGCAGCCGCGGUAAUACGUAGGGUGCGAGCGUUAUCCGGAAUCAUUGGGCGUAAAGAGCUCGUAGGCGGUUCAACAAGUCGGCUGUGAAAGUCCGGGGCUCAACCCCGGAAUUGCAGUCGAUACUGUUGUGACUUGAGUCCGGUAGAGGAGAAUGGAAUUCCCGGUGUAGCGGUGGAAUGCGCAGAUAUCGGGAGGAACACCAGUAGCGAAGGCGGUUCUCUGGGCCGGCACUGACGCUGAGGAGCGAAAGCGUGGGGAGCAAACAGGAUUAGAUACCCUGGUAGUCCACGCCGUAAACGUUGGAUACUAGGUGUGGCGGUCUACCAACGACUGCCGUGCCGAAGCUAACGCAUUAAGUNC
RNAcentral lists this ribosomal RNA (513 nucleotides) under uncultured bacterium. Its description in RNAcentral is "bacterial SSU rRNA". It matches the Rfam family "Bacterial small subunit ribosomal RNA", at positions 339 to 867 of the family's 1533-position model. The record is from RNAcentral.